Molecule: ribosomal RNA, 543 nt
Filed under: uncultured eukaryote
Lineage: Eukaryota
Description: SSU rRNA
Rfam family: Eukaryotic small subunit ribosomal RNA
Source: RNAcentral
UUAAAGUUGUUGCAGUUAAAAAGCUCGUAGUCGGAUUUUGGCAUCACGCCGUACUGUCUGCCGAUUGGUAUGCACGGUUUGGCGGGUGCUUCCUUCCGGAGGCUCGUUCCCUCCUUAACUGAAGGGUUCGUUGGUUCCGGUUCUUUUACUUUGAGAAAAUUAGAGUGUUCAAAGCAGGCCUAUGCUCUGAAUAGGUUAGCAUGGAAUAAUAGAAUAGGACUUUGGUUCUAUUUUGUUGGUUUCUAGGACCGAAGUAAUGAUUAAUAGGGACAGUUGGGGGCAUUCAUAUUCCAUUGUCAGAGAUGAAAUUCUUGGAUUAACGGAAGAUGAACUUCUGCGAAAGCAUCUGCCAAGGAUGUCUUCAUUGAUCAAGAACGAAAGUUAGGGGAUCGAAGACGAUCAGAUACCGUCGUAGUCUUAACCAUAAACUAUGCCGACUAGGGAUGUGGAGGUGUUAACUUUGUACGACCCUCCAUGCACCUUAUGAGAAAUCAAAGUCUAUGGGUUCCGGGGGGAGUAUGGUCGCAAGGCUGAAACUUAAAG